CAGUCGCCACGGUAAUACGUAGGUCCCGAGCGUUGUCCGGAUUUAUUGGGCGUAAAGCGAGCGCAGGCGGUUAGAUAAGUCUGAAGUUAAAGGCUGUGGCUUAACCAUAGUACGCUUUGGAAACUGUUUAGCUUGAGUGCAAGAGGGGAGAGUGGAAUUCCAUGUGUAGCGGUGAAAUGCGUAGAUAUAUGGAGGAACACCGGUGGCGAAAGCGGCUCUCUGGCUUGCAACUGACGCUGAGGCUCGAAAGCGUGGGGCGCAAACAGGAUUAGAUACCCCCGUAGUCCCUGUCUCUUAUACC
RNAcentral lists this ribosomal RNA (301 nucleotides) under uncultured bacterium. RNAcentral's name for it is "partial 16S ribosomal RNA". It matches the Rfam family "Bacterial small subunit ribosomal RNA", at positions 509 to 808 of the family's 1533-position model. The record is from RNAcentral.